RNAcentral lists this transfer RNA (75 nucleotides) under Candidatus Omnitrophota bacterium. RNAcentral's name for it is "tRNA-Arg". It matches the Rfam family "tRNA". Rfam says of the family: Transfer RNA (tRNA) molecules are approximately 80 nucleotides in length. Lineage: Bacteria; Pseudomonadati; Candidatus Omnitrophota. The record is from RNAcentral.
GCGCCUGUAGCGUAACGGAUAACGCGUUGGCCUCCGAAGCCAUGUAUGGCAGUUCGAUUCUGCCCAGGCGCGCCA